This 90-nucleotide non-coding RNA is filed under the name unclassified sequences. RNAcentral's name for it is "freshwater-2 RNA". It matches the Rfam family "freshwater-2 RNA". From Rfam's summary of the family: Aquatic, esp. fresh water. No recognized genes The record is from RNAcentral.
GUCCGCAAUAAGGCGGCUUAUGCUGAGCGUAAUACCCACAGCGUACGGGCUAGAACCCCGAUCGGACUUCUUUAAGGAGAAAACAACAUG